GAGGCUAUGCUUGUGGUGCUUUGGUUG
This 27-nucleotide small RNA is filed under the name Arabidopsis thaliana (thale cress). RNAcentral describes it as "ATSL298200". The record is from RNAcentral. Lineage: Eukaryota; Viridiplantae; Streptophyta; Magnoliopsida; Brassicales; Brassicaceae.